RNAcentral lists this transfer RNA (74 nucleotides) under Candidatus Gastranaerophilus sp. (ex Termes propinquus). It matches the Rfam family "tRNA". Rfam says of the family: Transfer RNA (tRNA) molecules are approximately 80 nucleotides in length. Their secondary structure includes four short double-helical elements and three loops (D, anti-codon, and T loops). The record is from Rfam by way of RNAcentral. Lineage: Bacteria; Bacillati; Candidatus Melainabacteria; Candidatus Gastranaerophilales; Candidatus Gastranaerophilaceae.
GGCUGAGUAGCUCAGUUGGUGAGAGCGCGCGGCUCAUACCCGCGAGGUCAACAGUUCAAAUCUGUUCUCAGCUA